UACGUAGGGGGCUAGCGUUGUCCGGAUUUAUUGGGCGUAAAGAGCGUAUAGGCGGCCAGGUAGGUCUGCUGUGAAAACUCGAGGCUCAACCUCGAGAUGUCGGCGGAAACCAUCUGGCUAGAGUCCGGAAGAGGAGAGUGGAAUUCCUGGUGUAGCGGUGAAAUGCGCAGAUAUCAGGAAGAACACCUAUGGCGAAGGCAGCUCUCUGGGACGGUACUGACGCUGAGACGCGAAAGCGUGGGGAGCGAACAGG
This 253-nucleotide ribosomal RNA is filed under the name uncultured bacterium. RNAcentral's name for it is "partial 16S ribosomal RNA". It matches the Rfam family "Bacterial small subunit ribosomal RNA", at positions 524 to 776 of the family's 1533-position model. The record is from RNAcentral.